RNAcentral lists this ribosomal RNA (301 nucleotides) under uncultured bacterium. RNAcentral describes it as "partial 16S ribosomal RNA". It matches the Rfam family "Bacterial small subunit ribosomal RNA", at positions 509 to 807 of the family's 1533-position model. The record is from RNAcentral.
CAGCAGCCACGGUAAUACAGAGACUGCAAGCGUUAUUCGGAUUCACUGGGCGUAAAGGGUGCGCAGGCGGCCAUGUGUGUGAGGCGUGAAAGCCCGAUGCUUAACAUCGGAAUUGCACCUCAAACUACAUGGCUAGAGCAUUGGAGAGGGUAGCAGAAUUCAUGGUGUAGCAGUGAAAUGCGUAGAUAUCAUGAGGAAUACCAGAGGCGAGGGCGGCUACCUGGACAAUUGCUGACGCUCAGGCACGAAAGCGUGGGGAGCAAAAGGGAUUAGAUACCCCCGUAGUCCCUGUCUCUUAUAC